This 396-nucleotide ribosomal RNA is filed under the name uncultured bacterium. Its description in RNAcentral is "bacterial SSU rRNA". It matches the Rfam family "Bacterial small subunit ribosomal RNA", at positions 364 to 758 of the family's 1533-position model. The record is from RNAcentral.
GUGACUGGGGGCACCCUGCUCCGCAAUGCCGCGUGAGUGAAGAAGGCCUUCGGGUUGUAAAGCUCUUUUGUCAGGGAAGAAACACCGGCUCUAACACAGUCCGGGAAUGACGGUACCUGAAGAAUAAGCACCGGCUAACUACGUGCCAGCAGCCGCGGUAAUACGUAGGGUGCAAGCGUUAAUCGGAAUCACUGGGCGUAAAGCGUGCGCAGGCGGUUAUACAAGACAGGCGUGAAAUCCCCGGGCUUAACCUGGGAAUGGCGCCUGUGACUGUAUAGCUAGAGUGUGUCAGAGGGGGGUAGAAUCCCACGUGUAGCAGUGAAAUGCGUAGAUAUGUGGAGGAAUACCAAUGGCGAAGGCAGCCCCCUGGGAUAACACUGACGCCCAUGCACGAAA